CCUGAACCCUGUCUGCCCAGUUAGAGAAGGGGUUAAAUGUUCCCAGCAAGGUCCCUGACUCACCAUGUGUCACUUCCUUGUCACUGAUGAGGCAGGAGAAUGCUGUUAAGCCAGCUUUCACAUCUGUGGAGUCUGUGGAGUCUCUGAAAAGCCUUGAAGAGCUACUUCUAAGGGGUCAACAUUGGUCAGAACAGGGGAUGGCAGUCUGCUGGACACACGGGGCCACCUAAUUGCUUUCCCAUGUCUUGCUGGAGUGGUGCUGGCAGCCAGAGAGCUACCAGAACCUGAACUAAUUUGGUAAAUAAGGACCAAAACCAAGGACCGCAUUUCUGCUUCUUCGCUGAGACCCAGACUCCCCACAGAAUUCCAAAGAUUUUUCUUCCUUGGAAGUCACUGGACCUCCAGCCCUGAAUUCCGCUCCCCAGGAGAGCCUGUUCCCCUGCUCGGAACAAAUAACAUAUUUCCUGGUUAAUUGGAAGUCAGGAAGGCUUGAAGAAGGGUGAUUGGGCCCCCAGUCUUGCAGAGAGGUCAGUCAGCUCAUGGGCUCAGUGUCCUUCUACAGACACCGGGCAACUCGGACUCCUGCAUAGUACAUCUCAAGUUUGAAAGAUGGAGGAAGUCAGGAUGACCUGGUGUCUUCUUUUUGAUGACUUCUCCGCCCAUAGCGGCCGUCUGUUCCAAAAAUUUCCUGGAGUGCUCCUUCCAUCUAGAAAGCUUGCGGCACUAAGGUUCUAUGUUCUUCACUAUACCCUGUGCACGCCAGUCCACAGCUGCUGACACUGGAGGAGAGGAAGAUCACAGAGCUAACCUCAACAUGAUCAUUUACCAUAGUCACAGCAUGAGCUAAGUGACUCUUGGAGCCAGAUUCCUCACCAAUAAACCAGAGAUGUCUUUCUAUACACAGCUCCUAGAAAAACCAACUAUAUAUUGCCAGUGGCAUAACAGCCCAGACCACAAGGGACUGGAGCAGGCUCAUGUGCUGGACACCUGGUCCCCUGCGGGUGGUACUGCUGGGAAAGUUGUGGAAACUUUAGGAGAUGGUGUCCAGCUGGAAGUGGGUCCCUAGAAGCGUGCCAUGGAGAUUAUACCUACUGCCCCUGGUCCCUUGCCACUCUACCCCUUUCUCUUGGCUUCCAGCCCACUAUAAAGUGAUGAACCUCUUCUGACAUCUGUUCCAGACACCACGAUGAUCUGCUUAAGUACAUGGGACUUAAGCAGUAUAUGGCAGAACCAUCUGAAACUGUGAACCAAAAUAAACCUUCCCUCCUUGAAGUUGUUCUCUUGGGUGUUUUAGUCACAAUGACAUGGUGAGCACAGCAACCAGGAAAUUAAUACAGUUUCCCAGGUUUCCUGAAAACUGCUAACCAUGCAAGGUUGGG
Molecule: long non-coding RNA, 1379 nt
Filed under: Cricetulus griseus (Chinese hamster)
Lineage: Eukaryota; Metazoa; Chordata; Mammalia; Rodentia; Cricetidae
Description: lncRNA (ENSCGRG00015031531.1)
Source: RNAcentral